RNAcentral lists this long non-coding RNA (731 nucleotides) under Zea mays. RNAcentral describes it as "long non-coding RNA (ZMAY_LNC005292)". The record is from RNAcentral. Lineage: Eukaryota; Viridiplantae; Streptophyta; Magnoliopsida; Poales; Poaceae.
ACAAGUGGCGUGUUUACAUGCAGAGAGCGGUUGCUAAAGGAUAGGAAGCUGAAGCUGGAUGAAGGAAGCAACUACAUGCAACCGAUGGCAAUAAUGCAUUGCAGGUACUGGGAAUUCACUUGAAAUAUUAAGGUCUUUUACAUUCUUCUUUUUUUGCUGGUGCCACAGUGGUAAUAGUGUUGGGCAUUCGAAAUAUUGCUGCGAGAUUAUUUAAUUGUCAAUGUACCACAUGAUAGGGUUGAGGCUCGUCAGAAAUGUCAAGUUGGUCCCGGACGUGGGUAUGGUGCCCGCAAGGCCGACAGAGCUGAGAUCAAGCGCUGAGAUCGUGCCCUCGUGCCUGCGGCUGCAUGUCACACCUGGCCAGAGGCAUAGGCUACCACUACUGUUCUAAGAGGACAACCUGCUCGAUAGCUAGCCUAGGAUGGCCUUCAGUUCCAGCAAGGCUUGUCGGCUCGUCUCACUGCAGAACGCUAUUGUUGGCGCCUAAUUGAACGAAGUUGAUACCGGUAGGAUCCCAUGAAGCAAUAUAAGCCGCAGAAGUCUGACGAGGAAUGACAUAGAUGCAGUGCGUUCGUUUGUUGCCACUGAAAAAAGAUCUGAACCAAGUAUUUCUGUAAGUAUACCAACAAGUUAGUUGCUACUACUUUGCAUAUUGAUCUUCGUUGGCUGAAUGUUUGAGUUUUUUUCAAGGCACAAACACUUUAUUUUGAGAUCUAUCUGCCCGAUUUCAG